GACAGAGGUGCCAAGCGUUAGGCGGAAUCACUGGGCUUAAAGCGUGUGUAGGCGGAUGCCUAAGUACCUUGUGAAAUCCCACGGCUCAACCGUGGAACUGCUUGGUAUACUGGGUGUCUUGAGCCAUCUAGGGGCUACCGGAACAAAUGGUGGAGCGGUGAAAUGCGUAGAUAUCAGGAAGAACACCCGUGGCUAAGGCGGCUCUCUAGUACGGUACUGACGCUGAGACGCGAAAGCGUGGGGAGCGAACAGG
This 253-nucleotide ribosomal RNA is filed under the name uncultured bacterium. Its description in RNAcentral is "partial 16S ribosomal RNA". It matches the Rfam family "Bacterial small subunit ribosomal RNA", at positions 524 to 776 of the family's 1533-position model. The record is from RNAcentral.